UUCGCCAGCUUCCGCUUGCCGCUAGGGUGUCGUACGGAGGAGAAAACAUACCGCUCGCGUGUUCCGUAAACUUUUGUCGGGACCUGUACGGUGCGUCCACAAAUAUUAAUUUAGUGGUCUAGCCUUUCUUGUCCCGUGACCACCUGCAACAUCACAGGUAAGUCAUGUAGCACGUAUUUGGCCGAAUUGGACAAAAGCAGUGUGAUGCCGUCGUCUCCUCAAUGGAAAUUGAUUGAUUGCUUAUUUGUCAUCAGCACAAAAAAAUAAAGCUGCUGCUACUCCAUCAGCAAUUGCUGAUGGAGCCUGAAUUGAGUCUUAAAUGGAGGUUACCGUAAUUUCACGCGUAUAAGCCGCAAUUUUUUUUCUCUCGGUCGCUGUGCGGCUUAUCUGAUAGCUAUUUUUCCCUGGUAUUUUCCUGCUGGUUUUAACGAAAGGGCUGACAGUGUCUCUGGAACAGCACUGCCCAGCCAAUGCACAAACAAUGCCAUUCGAGUAGACUGACCUUCCUGGUGCCUUCCCUCAAGCAGCUUUAAUGAAAGUGCUCACAGUGACUUCUGGAAGGCCACUGAUACGCAACGAUCAUGGUAUAAGACUAGAACUGACCUCCUUUGUUGUACACCAUGCCGACUCCGAAGUAUGGACCACAGGGUUUUUGGCCUUCUGUAUGGUCUCCUUUGUCGCACAAAUCAGUCGCGUCCUAUUGCCCGCGGCUUAUACGCGUGAAAUUACGAUACUUCUUUUCACGUGAAAUGUUGAAAAUUAGUACCAUUGAGUUUCUUCAGCAAUGUUAAUAUUAUUAAUGGACAUUUCGUUUUAUUUCCACAAAUCAGGUGUGGGGACAAGGACAAAAAGCUGUAAAGAGACAGCUUGACAAGGUUCCAGCUCCUAUACAGCGGCGAUAAUAAACACAAUGAAAUAGAAACAAACAUAAUGUUACUAGUAUCAGUACACAAACAACAAACAAAAUACUACACAAAUGCAAAUUUAAAGAAAAACAGAAAGAUACGGUAGUGCAUAUUUUUGAUUAAGAUAGCAAUGGGAGCAUUUCCUAAGGAGAAAUAUCUGAGUGUCUCUUGGAGCACUGAACUUUCUUUUUGUUUCGUGAAACUGUCUCAAUUACUUUAACAAUAUUAUUAAUUUAACAAGCACAGACAAGGUCAGGUAAAGUGAUCUCGUAAAACAACGAAACAUUAUGGAUUAUCCCAAAUUGGUGGCAUUGUUACACACACCAUCCUCAGCGACUGGACCAAAAUUACUGGACCAAAAAUUCUUCGUGCUGGCCAACCUGAUACAACGUAGAUAUUCUACGGAAGACAUCUUUCUCACGACCAAGAGUGUGCAAGAUAAGAGUGACAAAAUUAUUGGAAAGGUCUUAAUAUGACGAAUGACAUUGGAUGCCUUAACAAUCCUUGAACAAAUGGUGUGUGAAGGCUUCAAGUGCAGGUUGUGCAGUUAUGCAGCAGCACACGAGUGUACAUUGCAGAUACGUUACACCACAGGGUUACCAAACAUGCAUCUGUAAAGGAGGGAUAGUCUAUUUGGUACCCUCAAAGUUGUUAUUUUGGCUAUGGCAGUAAGUUUGCAGGUUCCGCGUUAGUGCCUGUGAAACAGCUGUGGCUAUGACAGAUGGGACAUCAGACAACACCACAAAACAUUGUGUUCAAGUAUUGCAUGCUCAAAGUUCCAUUUUAGUAGCCGUCAGUGUUGUUCACUGCCACAUUUUGGUAGGAAAAAAACUGCUUUCAUUUUUUGUGGGUCAAAUUUAUUGCCAUGAUGCCUGAAAUAUUUUUUAGGGCACUUCAUAUUACACUUAUGUGAUUUUUUAUGUACAUUGCUCGUGCGGUAUUUCAUGCCAGUGGAGGUUCAACCCUAUCAAUUGGGAUGUUUUCUGCUAAUAUUGUUAGUAGAAAACCUUAGAUUUUGACCAUUUAAGACCAUACUGUUUUAUUUGGGAAAUUAAAAUGCAAACUCCCAUCUCAUCGUUACUGGAACAAUUGAUGGUGCGAGUUAUUCCAGCUGCCUGUAUCCCAGAAGCGGUAUGAAUAUUCUGGUACUGAUCACUACUUAGUAGUACUGUAGUCAGUCUUGUGUCAUUGAAAAUGAGUAUGAGUGUGUGUUGUUUUGGAGGUCAGUAUCGUGCAAUUUGUUAACACUCAUGUCCGAAAGAGGUUUCUAGUCAUUACUGUGCACUUUUAUAAAAUUUGUCGACCACGAGGAACUAUCAUGUUCCCUGAGUCGCAUCUAAGCCACAUGUGCAGUAAUACGACACACAGUGUGCUCACACAUGCUCGAGUCCAUAUAAAGUGUCAACUCUGCUACCAAUUAAAUGUUAAUUGGUCGCAUGAACCCUCGUAUUGUUGUUAGAGGUAGAGCAAUUCCUGGAAGGGCAGCAUUUCCUCCAGUUAGAGAUUAUUCCUUAACAUGAGAGCUUAUUCAGAACACUAAAGUUGCGCAAAGUAAAAUAAAAAUCACUAUAGGGAAAUAACAUUUGACAUCCAGCGGAGCCGAGCAAAGUGCUCUGUUUGGGUCAAGAAAUGUUUCCUGUGAAUAGCUCGAUGCUUUUCCCAUACAUAUCCUAGUACAACUAUCCUAGUAGAGUUUGGUCGUAUGAUGCAGAUGCUAGCCAGGAUCUUGCCUCAUCUUGUCUAUGAUUCGUACAUAGUGAAAUGUUUCCAUGUGACAAAUUCAAACAACUCAGGGUCAUAGACAAACUGCUUUCCAAAAGUUUGCUGUACUCAGGGGAAAUGCUACCCCAAAAUGAAACCGUUUUUUGCAUGUUUUUUUUUCUUCUAGCGUUUGUUUCUAGUUGUAAGCGUUAAAAUUUUCUAUGGACUGACAAGGAAAAUAAUGGGAACAAAAUGCUCGAAAAUAGCUGUUUUCUUUUUGCAUAUUUUAAAUACUGCUAACUGCAUUCCAGAAAACAGGUUCUUCAGGUAUCAUAACACUUAUAUGCUGUGGAAAUGUUUGUAAGAUGAUGUCAUUGUGAUCAUUUAGAUUGGCGAGAAUACCAGUGUCGGUUCUGCCCGCACGCAGCCAAGAGGAAGGAUCAUCUCAUUCAACAUGAACGGACACACACUGGGGAGAAGCCCUUCCGUUGCAGAUUCUGCAAUCACUCAUCAAAGUCAAAGUCCCAGUUGAUUCGCCACGAAAGGAUACAUACAGGAGAGAAGCCCUACCAUUGUGGAUUAUGCUCAUACUCUUCCAAACGAAGAGAUCACCUUGUGCUUCAUGAAAAAAUACACAGGAGAAUGUGUCAUGGGGUGUGGGAAUUGUAAUAAAUUUACUUUAUGAAGAUAA
Molecule: long non-coding RNA, 3297 nt
Organism: Ornithodoros turicata
Lineage: Eukaryota; Metazoa; Arthropoda; Arachnida; Ixodida; Argasidae
Exons: 2
Source: RefSeq, a predicted model, not a curated record